RNAcentral lists this long non-coding RNA (2822 nucleotides) under Homo sapiens (human). RNAcentral's name for it is "cancer/testis associated 62". The record is from RNAcentral. Lineage: Eukaryota; Metazoa; Chordata; Mammalia; Primates; Hominidae.
CCGAGAGCGGGAUCCGCGCUCCCUCGGUCCUUCCUCCCUCCCCUCUUGCGGCCUCCCGCUGUCAUCUGGAGCCGCUCCUGCCGCCCCCUGGCGGCGACCGCGGGAAGGGCCGGCCCCCAUCCGCACCCCUGACCCCGGAGGUCAACAACGGGAUGGUCCCUGGGUCCCAGGGGAAGAGACAUCACCCAGUAGGAGGGAGUACGGUCUAGACAGAGGCCACGAGGGCGGGAGGGGGCGAGAGUGGAGAGUGGCCCAGCUGGCCAGGGUCGUCUAAGUGAGAGGAAAAGGGAGAGGGCGGUUGAGACCAGGCCCUGAAUUCCGCGUUCAUCUUAUCCUGAGGUCUGUGGGGACCUGUUGAAGGACUGGGGCAGGGGACGGACGCGGGCAUCCUUCCAUUUGGAACAGCCAUUCCGGCAGCAUCAGGAUGGGGCGGAGGCAAAGCGGGGAGUGGGCGAGGCAAGUGGUGCUGUAAACCUGUGCGAGAAGGGGGCGGUGACUCUAAGGGCAGGAAGGAGCCCUGGUCACACACACACUCCCACGCAAGGUAUUCAGUGCCGAGUGUGGCCUUGGUGCUAGGAUUCAAAGAGGAAAGGAAGAAAACUUUCCAUUCUAAAAGAAACUCCACGUGAGGCGAAGAAGAUGAAAUAUAGUCAGAAAACCAUACCAGUAGGUGGUAGGUAAAUGCAGAAGUAUUUAAGAGCUCAUACAGGAGUACCUGCCUCAGGACAGGGAAUCUGAGAUGCUCUGCAGAGCUGGAUCUUAAAGAACGGAUUAAGUUGAUAAAUGAUGCAUACGACAUCCUAUAGAAGACUGUCACCACCCCACCUCACUGAUCAGCCCUCUGCCUACAGCCACACCCACAGAACAUUCAGCCAUUUCUCCUGUGGUUCCCAGCCUGCAGCACAGCGUCUGCACGUGGUGAGGGCUCCCAAAUCUCUGAGGAAUGAAUGGCUCACUGCUGAGAGCAACCUUCUGGGAGUUCAGGGCAUGUGGAACUGGAAUAAGAGCAACGUGUGAACAGAUUACAGGAAGGCAAUGCAGGACAGCUGGACCCUUUGGGGGGAAACUUAUGGGGAACACAGUUUUCUUACUUAUAAGCACUGAGAUUGCCUGAGAGGGGAGAGAUGAUGCAGAGUGUCCCAAAUGUAUUUGACGUGGAAUCCUUUUACCAGCGAAACAUCUCUUGGGCCUAGAGUUCUGAAAAUUGCACUUUGAAAAACACUGCUCUCAGCUCUUACAAACCUCGUGUUUUCAUCCUAACUGUGCUUCAGAGAAUUGUGUCCCAGCAGGAAAGGAAACCCCCGUAUAAUUCCCUACGUUGCUAGCAUUUGGAAGUGGGAUGAAAAUGGACCUACAUUCAAACCCCUAAUUUCAAGCUCUGAAGGAGGUACCAGGAUCCAUCACGAUGCUUGUAAAAUUGUUCCUUUCAUUUUCCUGGUUGUAAACUUAUGCAGACUGUAAAGUCAAGGCAAGCCUGUGCCCAGCAAAUAAUAAGAAAAUAAGGGAGGCAUGGUAAACAAAACAAAACACUUUGAGAGUUGGUCAACUUGCUGUUAUUUUGAGCUGUUUCUAAAAAUCUCAGGGUAGAUUCCCUCCCCUGCUUGCCUCCUUAACCCAGUCCUUUUUCUUCCUCCUCCAGGAACUCUGGAAUGCUGACCUACAGUCUGAGUUCCUGUGCCCUUGCCUGGGGCUGACUCUCUACUUGACCUGUAACCCACAACUGGGCAAGAGAAAAUUCUGCAGCCACAGCUCUGAGGACAUGAGCAAAAUGGUUUCCAGACGGAAUGUCAAGGAUUCCCAUGAAGUGUCAGGGAGUCUUCAGGCCACACUUCAGGUUAUCUCCUUCUCUUUCCCUUUUCUGCUUCACACUUGCUCUCAUCCUCUUUCUCACCCCACAUCUGGUCAGAGGAGAUAGGAAGGUUCUUGUUACCUGGUACAAGACAACUUUUGGAAUCCCAGAUAUUCAGAUUAUUUCCCCUUUUCCUCUUUGCAAAUGAUAAUACUCACAGCCAAGAGGCAUCACCCGGAUCCGAGGCUGCUUCUCCUUAGGACAUGCAGACAGAAGGAGAAGGCGGGGCUGGCAGCCUCCAGUCCACAGCCUCCCUUUCUUCUUCCGGCGAUGAUUAACUAGGCCUAGACAAUGGAGAUCUACGGCAUACGCCCAGGGCCUCCUCUUCUCAAGCAUGGCUGAUCAGUCACUUUCCCGUCUAUCCUUCAUUUAUUGAAGCCAACUAUGAACGACUAAAGGAAGGAUGAGAAAAGUCACCCAAAGUCAAAGGGGACAGCGUGGGAGACUGUUCUAGACAGAAGGAAACACCUUUGCAAAGACCCUGAGGAAGGCAGGGGACUCUCCAGGAGCAGAAGGGCUGUGUGGCUUCAGAGUCCACAAAAGAGAGCAGAUACAGGACACUGGCUAGAGCAGGCCCUGGAGCCCGCUGCUGUCCUGGAGGCCUUGGGGAGGCCCAGUGUUCCCAGGGUGGAAGAAGUAGGGGACAGCUUGACGUAGUGGCUGUUGAUCAGCUGAUAUGGAAGUAUGUCAUUUUAUUAACAAUUGAGAAAGGAGUGCUGUGCAAUUCCAUUCAAUGCCAGUGAUGCUUAUGGCCGUUUUUAUGAGUUCUGUCAUUUUCAAAUGAGCAAGAGGAAGCCUCUAAGGGGGUUUAAGCAGGGACUGACGUAAUCAGAUCUGUGUUUUUCCAAAGGGAGAGGGAGAAAAAGAACAUUUCUUAUUUUUCAAAAAAGGUAAUGCAAAAGCAUCAUUCCACAAUUCUCUUGUAAUGAAAAAAAUAAAUGCAAACUUAAGCAAAUCCAUCAUUCUGAAAGAA